AGUUUAUUCUGGCUCAGAUUAACGCUGGCGGGAUGCUUUACAUGCAAGUCGAAUGUAAAAGCACGGACUUCGGUCUGGUGGCGAGUGGCGAACGGGUAGUAAUAUCGGAACGCGCCUAGUAGCGGGGGAUAACUACGCGAAAGCGUAUUAAUAAUGCAUACGGCCUCGGGGGAAAGCGGGGACCUUUCGGGUCUCGCACUAUUAGAGCGGCCGAUAUCGGAUUAGCUAGUUGUGGGUAAACGGCUCACCAAGGCGACGAUCCGUAUUGUUUGAGAGGAUUAACUGCCGACUGGGACUGAGAUUGACGCCCAGACUCCAGCGGGAGGCAGUGGGGAAUUUUGACAAUGGGGGAAACUCCUGAUCCAGCCAUCCCGCGUGUGCGAUGGCGCCCUUCGCCAGAAGCACUUCGCAGAAAGAAACGCACGAUACCCCGUGCAACUGACGGUACCUGCAGAAUAAGCACGGCUAACAUGCCAGCAGCCGCGGCGGUACGUGUGGUGCAAGCGCACCGGAAUUACUGGCGUAAAGCGUGCGCAGGCGUUCUGGAAAGAAAGAUGUGAAAUCCAGAGCUUAACUUUGGAAACUGCAUUUUUAACUACCGAGCUAGAGUGCCGGUGGUGGAAUUCUGCGAGUGAAAUGUAGAUAUGCGAGAACACUGAUGGCGGAAGGCAGCCUCCUGGGAUAACAAUUAUCCAUGCACGGAAAGGAGCAAACAGACGAUACUCCUGGUAGUCCACGCCCUAAACGAUGUCAACUAGCUGUUGGGGCUCUGGCCUGGUAGCGCAGCUAAUGCGUGAAGAUGGACCGCCUGGGGAGUACGUCGCAAGAUUAAAUCCUUGUGCGAAUUGACGGGGACCUGCACAAGCGGUGGAUGAUGUGGAUUAAUUCGAUGCAACGCGAAAACCUUACUCACCUGACAUGUUUUAUGAACUGAAGAGAUUUGGGAGUGUCGUGGCGAACGGAACGAAAAGGCCGUCAAAGUCAGUCAGUCGAGAUGUUGGGUUAAGUCCCGCAACGAGCGCAACCCUUGUCAUUAGCGUUGAGGCGGCACUCUAGAUGAGACUGUUGCAGACAAACCGGAGGAAAGGUAGAUGACGGUCAAGUCCUCAUGGCCCUUAAGGGUAGGGCUUCACACGUCAUACAAUGGUCGGGACAGAGGGCUUCUCCAACCCGCGAGGUGGGGAGCUGUCCUCGUAGAAACCCGAUCGUAGUCCGGAUCGCAGUCUGCAACUCGACUGUGAAGUCGGAAUCGCUAGUAAUCGCGGACAAAAUACUGCGGUGAAUACGUUCUCGGGUCUUUGUACACACCGCCCGUCACACCAUGGAGUGGUCACCAGAAGUAGUUAGCCUAACCGUAAGAGGCAUGGAUUACUACGGUAGGGUCUAUGACUGGGUGAAGUCAAUAAGGUAGCCCAAAGAUACCGAGUUCCA
RNAcentral lists this ribosomal RNA (1431 nucleotides) under uncultured Bordetella sp. Its description in RNAcentral is "partial 16S-23S ribosomal RNA intergenic spacer". It matches the Rfam family "Bacterial small subunit ribosomal RNA". The record is from RNAcentral. Lineage: Bacteria; Pseudomonadati; Pseudomonadota; Betaproteobacteria; Burkholderiales; Alcaligenaceae.